This is a long non-coding RNA of Mauremys reevesii (Reeves's turtle), 1701 nucleotides long. RefSeq lists it as uncharacterized. The transcript has 3 exons. The record is from RefSeq and is a predicted model, not a curated record. NCBI's taxonomy places the organism in Eukaryota, Metazoa, Chordata, Testudines, Geoemydidae.
GAUCUGUUGGACUCUCCAGUGAGUCACCCCCCUUCCUUUGGUCAGUUUGGGACUGCGAUGAGACACCACUACUAAGCGACUGAGGCGCUGAUCAAAGGGGAGAGCCUGGCUGAAGGGCAACCAGCCAGCCUGUGGAGAGAAGUAUCUAAGUUUGAAUUGAGGAGGAAAUGAAAUGACCCAUCACAAAAUGACAUUCUUCUAAACGAAGUAUUUAAGAGGUUACAAUGGGAUCCUACUAAGAAGAGCCACAUUUCCCAGAAAAAAGAUAACCCUCUUAAUAGCAUUCAGAUUAUAAAUGGUCUCUCAGUAUUAACAUAGUAUUAACAUAGUUGCCAACCCUGGUGUGAUCCCACUGACUUCAGGGGGAUUAGGCCAGUUAAGAUGACCUUUUUUAUUAAAUAGAAGCAAACAUGGAAUUUUUGGAGUGCAAAUCCAUAAAAAAAUCUAGAACCACAAUUUUGUACCCCUAAUUGUACUGGGAAUCCAAUGUCUUCAUCAAAGAGAUGUCCAUGCCCACAUGUUUUUGCUCUUUCAGUUGAGUAUGCAAUUGAUUUCUCAGUGCUAAAUAACCUCUGUUUAAAAAUAAUUAUGAAUCCAAAUGCUAUGACAGCAGAGAAAACGAGAAGUUCUGGUAUCUGAUGAGGAUAAUUAUAAAAAUAUGUCACUCAGAGUCCUGAUUUUGCAACCUUUCCAUGUGUGAAUUUCAUGUAUUCAACAGAAACUAAACUGACACCAACUCAUGUCAGGUGGGCAUAUUGACCUAGAUCCUCAAAGGUAUCUAGGCUCCUAAUUUCCAGUUAAAUAAUUUUGCAUUGAUGAUAGUGGGAGUUGGGAACCUAAAGACCUUUGAGGAUCUGGCCCAUUUCAGCCCCUUUAAGGCUCACUCUUAUGUAUUCAGUAUGCAAACAACAAGCUAAACAAUAAGAAAAGUAAACUAUCAACCCAUACACAAAUUUGUGUAAGUUUAAAACAGUACUGUAAAACCAAAUAUAGUAGCUAGAGAACUGGAAUACACCGUGUUUCUCACUGUAAAUGCUAUUUAUUGUAGGUACGUAACAUUUACAUAUAAAAGUAUGCUCUACUUUGAUAAGAUAACAUUGGCAUUUUGAUGUUAUUUGGUGUGUAUAUACAGUAUGCUGAGUCAGUUCCUGCACAUUACUUUCAUUCACCACUAACUGCUAUAAAAAUAAGCUAUCAAACUUUGUGGAAUUUAUGUAUGAAACUAUGUUAUCUAUGCCUUGCAAAACUUACAUUUUAAUUUACAUUUCUUAUCUGCAAGGACAAACUGCUCUGAAUUAAUGAUAGUGUGCCAUAAGCUACUCAGACAAGAAAUGCCCACUUAUAAGGGUAAAAUUAUUAUGAUUAUAUUUGUUAAGAUUACAAUAGCACCCAAAAUUCACUAAUCAUAUAUGGAAUUUUUGCCAAAAAGAGUUUUUCACAAUCUAAAAAGACAAAAACAGACAAGGGAUAGAGGAAAUGCUUACAACAUGCAAGCAAAAUUAUCAGUGUGGCAUACCUAAGCUUCCUUGAGGAGAAGCUGUGUCAUCAAACACACAAACCCAGAGCCACUCCUGAACUAACUUUAUUACUACAGCAACAAUGAUGAACAAAACACAAGGUCAUUCCGGCUCUUUGUUUUAAAGUUUUUAAUCUUCCAACUAAAAUUGCCAUAAUGUGAUAAAAUAAAGAAAUCUAAAACAA